This 77-nucleotide transfer RNA is filed under the name Gammaproteobacteria bacterium. RNAcentral describes it as "tRNA-Thr". It matches the Rfam family "tRNA". Rfam says of the family: Transfer RNA (tRNA) molecules are approximately 80 nucleotides in length. Their secondary structure includes four short double-helical elements and three loops (D, anti-codon, and T loops). The record is from RNAcentral. Lineage: Bacteria; Pseudomonadati; Pseudomonadota; Gammaproteobacteria.
GCCGGGAUAGCUCAAGUUAGCAGAGCGACUGCCUUGUAAGCAGUGGGUUGUGGGUGCAAGUCCUACUCCCGGCACCA